CCCCUUAGAGUUUGAUCAUGGCUCAGAAUGAACGUUGGCGGCGUGGAUUAGGCAUGCAAGUCGAGCGAGAACCCGCAGGGGGGACAGCGGCGAACGGGGUAGGAAUACGUAGGUAACGUACCCUCGGGGCGAGGACAGCCACGGGAAACUGUGGGUAAUACUCGAUAAACUUCCCAAUCAUUAUGGAGGGGGAAGCAAUGGGUGUGAUUCCACCUGAGGAGCGGCUUACGCAGUAUCAGCUAGUUGGUGAGGUAACGGCUCACCAAGGCUACGACGCUUAGGGGGUGUGAGAGCAUGGCCCCCACCACUGGCACUGAGACACUGGCCAGACACCUACGGGUGGCUGCAGUCAAAAAUCUUCGGCAAUGGACGCAAGUCUGACCGAGCGACGCCGCGUGUGGGAUGAAGGCCUUCGGGUUGUAAACCACUGUCAGAGGGGAUGAAGUGUACGAGAGUUAUCUCUUGUAUUUGACAGAGCCUCAGAGGAAGCACGGGCUAAGUUCGUGCCAGCAGCCGCGGUAAUACGAACUGUGCGAACGUUAUUCGGAAUCACUGGGCUUAGAGGGUGCGUAGGCGGUUAUCUAAGUCAGGUGUGAAAUCUCUCGGCUCAACCGGGAAACUGCGCUUGAAACUGGAUGACUGGAGGGAUGCAGGGGGUGUGUGGAACUUCCGGGUGGGAGCGGUGAAAUGUGUAGAUAUCGGAGGGACGCCAGCAGCGAAAGCGGCACACUGGUCAUCUACUGACGCUGAGCACGAAGCUAAGGAGUGACGGAUAGAUCCCCAGUCAUCUAGCGUACCUGACGCUGGAGAGAAGAUGCUCGUCUCCUCCCGUACGAUCAUAUGUCGCUGAGGAGAUAGGUCCAGCUACUCAAUAUUGACGGAUCCACAAGCGUGACAUGUGACUAGUCGAGCUCACGCGAU
This 921-nucleotide ribosomal RNA is filed under the name uncultured bacterium. Its description in RNAcentral is "bacterial SSU rRNA". It matches the Rfam family "Bacterial small subunit ribosomal RNA", at positions 1 to 965 of the family's 1533-position model. The record is from RNAcentral.